GUACAUUUAAACUGAUAUUGAUUUUUUUUUAGGUUGCUAUAAUAAGUUUUUCUGCUGCUCCCGUCCAGAGACGCUUUACAUCGCCGUCAGACCGCCAUUUCUGACGGAGGAACUGAAGCCGUUACAUCGCUUUCUUCAAAGCCACCAGACUUCAUGAACAAAAACACUGUGGCACAUGACAUCCUGGCUGCAUGAGCAAGCCUGUAACACACACAGGGAGGUGUGAGAGCUGUCUUCUGUCAGACAGCCGAGGAGGAUGUUGAAAGGCACAGCUGAGCAGUCUGUUAUUUUACUUUUAGCUUCCUCCUUCAGGGAAUGAGUUAUUGGAUAACUUGAACUUCAACGUUUUAGGAGACAACAUCAGUUCAUGUUUAAUUAAAUAUGACUAGUUUCUUUCCGCUACCCUUUGCACUCUUUGUCCAAAUAGCA
This is a long non-coding RNA of Sebastes umbrosus (honeycomb rockfish), 429 nucleotides long. RefSeq lists it as uncharacterized. The record is from RefSeq and is a predicted model, not a curated record. Lineage: Eukaryota; Metazoa; Chordata; Actinopteri; Perciformes; Sebastidae. The transcript is spliced from 3 exons.